This 458-nucleotide ribosomal RNA is filed under the name uncultured bacterium. Its description in RNAcentral is "bacterial SSU rRNA". It matches the Rfam family "Bacterial small subunit ribosomal RNA", at positions 29 to 506 of the family's 1533-position model. The record is from RNAcentral.
ACGAACGCUGGCGGCAUGCCUAACACAUGCAAGUCGAACGAGGUGCGGGACUUCGGUUCUGUUACCUAGUGGCGGACGGGUGAGUAACACGUGGGAACCUGCCCAGUAGUACGGAAUAACCACGGGAAACUGUGGCUAAUACCGUAUACGCCCCCCUUUGGAGACAUUGGGGGGGAAAGAUUUAUCGCUAUUGGAUGGGCCCGCGUCGGAUUAGCUAGUUGGUGGGGUAACGGCCUACCAAGGCGACGAUCCGUAGCUGGUCUGAGAGGACGAUCAGCCACACUGGGACUGAGACACGGCCCAGACUCCUACGGGAGGCAGCAGUGGGGAAUAUUGGACAAUGGGGGAAACCCUGAUCCAGCAAUGCCGCGUGAGUGAAGAAGGCCUUAGGGUUGUAAAGCUCUUUCAGCGGGGAAGAUGAUGACGGUACCCGCAGAAGAAGCCCCGGCUAACUCCGU